UGCCUGGUAGUCUAGCGUAGAUGACGUGAAAUUGCAAAUUUUAAGAGGACUCUGUGUCCCAGGUAG
This 66-nucleotide transfer RNA is filed under the name Degeeriella rufa. Its description in RNAcentral is "tRNA-Cys". The record is from RNAcentral. Lineage: Eukaryota; Metazoa; Arthropoda; Insecta; Psocodea; Philopteridae.